GACGAACGCUGGCGGCGUGCUUAACACAUGCAAGUCGAGCGGUAAGGCCCUUUCGGGGGUACACGAACGGCGAACGGGUGAGUAACACGUGGGUGACCUGCCCUCAGCUCUGGGAUAAGCCUGGGAAACCGGGUCUAAUACUGGAUAUGACUCCAUGACGCAUGUUGUGGGGUGGAAAGCCUUGUGCGGCUGAGGAUGGGCCCGCGGCCUAUCAGCUUGUUGGUGGGGUGAUGGCCUACCAAGCGACGACGGUAGCCGGCCUGAGAGGGCGACCGGCCACACUGGGACUGAGACACGGCCCAGACUCCUACGGGAGGCAGCAGUGGGGAAUCUUGCGCAAUGGGCGAAAGCCUGACGCAGCGACG
This 365-nucleotide ribosomal RNA is filed under the name uncultured bacterium. Its description in RNAcentral is "bacterial SSU rRNA". It matches the Rfam family "Bacterial small subunit ribosomal RNA", at positions 28 to 396 of the family's 1533-position model. The record is from RNAcentral.